CAUCGAAACACCGGUUACCAUAAGAUCACCGAAGUUAAGCAAUGUUGCGCCUGGUCAGUACCUGGAUGGGUGACUGCUUGCUAAUAACCAAGUGCUGUAU
Molecule: non-coding RNA, 100 nt
Organism: Acanthosepion pharaonis
Lineage: Eukaryota; Metazoa; Mollusca; Cephalopoda; Sepiida; Sepiidae
Source: the annotation of a GenBank genome assembly